ACCGCUCUUGAACCGCUAGUAGCCGGGGUGGUGCCGGGUGUGACGUACUCACACGUGGGACUCGAGCCAGAGCUCAGAGGAGUAGCUGAGCCGGGCCCACGGGUGGGGAGGGUAUGAGUAAAACCGGUCGGGGUGCCCAACACACGGCCAUUUCUGCCCGCAUCGAACAUUCUCCUGGCGGGGCGGGGGCCCAGUGGGAGCUGCUACGCGGGGGUGGGCUUGUCCCUUCCUCCCC
This 235-nucleotide long non-coding RNA is filed under the name Phoenix dactylifera (date palm). RNAcentral's name for it is "long non-coding RNA (PDAC_LNC008131)". Lineage: Eukaryota; Viridiplantae; Streptophyta; Magnoliopsida; Arecales; Arecaceae. The record is from RNAcentral.